UACGUAGGGGGGCAAGCGUUUGUCCGGAUUUAUUGGGCGUAAAGAGCGUGUAGGCGGUUUGGUAGGUCCGCUGUGAAAACUCGAGCUCAACCUCGAGACGCCGGUGGAAACCAUCAGACUAGAGUCCGGAAGAGGAGAGUGGAAUUCCUGGUGUAGCGGUGAAAUGCGUAGAUAUCUGGAGGAACACCGGUGGCGAAGGCGGCAUCCUGGACCGGCAUUGACGCUGAGGCGCGAAAGCCAGGGGGA
RNAcentral lists this ribosomal RNA (246 nucleotides) under uncultured bacterium. RNAcentral's name for it is "partial 16S ribosomal RNA". It matches the Rfam family "Bacterial small subunit ribosomal RNA", at positions 524 to 768 of the family's 1533-position model. The record is from RNAcentral.